RNAcentral lists this long non-coding RNA (232 nucleotides) under Gossypium barbadense (sea-island cotton). Its description in RNAcentral is "long non-coding RNA (GBAR_LNC016906)". The record is from RNAcentral. Lineage: Eukaryota; Viridiplantae; Streptophyta; Magnoliopsida; Malvales; Malvaceae.
GACACCUUAUUUAUACAUUCUACAACCCUGGACUCAAAAUGACCACAAAACUAUCGAUUCGAUGAUAAGAUAGUGUGAGCUUCGAUAUGACUUAACUUAAUGUGUUCUGUAAGGUGACAAUCUACAAAGAAAAGGGAAAACAAAUAGGGUAGGCAUAUAAAAUGCUUAGUAAGUUCAUAGGCAUUAAACAAAAGCUUACCUUAGCUUUCAAUUAAGCACAAUAAGCAACUUA